AUGCCGCGUGCAGGAAGACGGCCCUAUGGGUUGUAAACUGCUUUUAUACAGGAAGAAACACUCGUACGUGUACGAGCUUGACGGUACUGUAAGAAUAAGGACCGGCUAACUCCGUGCCAGCAGCCGCGGUAAUACGGAGGGUCCGAGCGUUAUCCGGAAUCAUUGGGUUUAAAGGGUCCGCAGGCGGUCAAUUAAGUCAGAGGUGAAAUCCCAUAGCUUAACUAUGGAACUGCCUUUGAUACUGGUUGACUUGAGUCAUAUGGAAGUAGAUAGAAUGUGUAGUGUAGCGGUGAAAUGCAUAGAUAUUACAUAGAAUACCAAUUGCGAAGGCAGAUUACUAAUAAUCAACUGACACUGAUGGACGAAAGCGUGGGUAGCGAACAGGAUUAGAUACCCUGGUAGUCCACGCCGUAAACGAUGGUUACUAGCUGUGUGGAUUUCGGUCUGCGUGGCUAAGCGAAAGUGAUAAGUAACCCACCUGGGGAGUACGUUCGCAAGAAUGAAACUCAAAGGAAUUGACGGGGGCCCGCACAAGCGGUGGAGCAUGUGGUUUAAUUCGAUGAUACGCGAGGAACCUUACCAGGGCUUAAAUGUAAGUUGCAUUAGCUAGAGAUAGCUAUUUCUUCGGACCACUUACAAGGUGCUGCAUGGUUGUCGUCAGCUCGUGCCGUGAGGUGUCAGGUUAAGUCCUAUAACGAGCGCAACCCACGUCCUUAGUUACCAGCAUUUAGUUGGGUACCCUAAGGAGACUGCCGGUGAUAAGCCGGAGGAAGGUGUGGACGACGUCAAGUCAUCAUGGCCCUUACGGGUUGGG
This 814-nucleotide ribosomal RNA is filed under the name uncultured marine bacterium. RNAcentral describes it as "bacterial SSU rRNA". It matches the Rfam family "Bacterial small subunit ribosomal RNA", at positions 394 to 1213 of the family's 1533-position model. The record is from RNAcentral.